AUUGAACGCUGGCGGCAGGCUUAACACAUGCAAGUCGAGCGAGCGGCGGACGGGUGAGUAAUGUCUGGGAAACUGCCUGAUGGAGGGGGAUAACUACUGGAAACGGUAGCUAAUACCGCAUACCAUCAGAUGUGCCCAGAUGGGAUUAGCUAGUAGGUGGGGUAAUGGCUCACCUAGGCGACGAUCCCUAGCUGGUCUGAGAGGCUGACCAGCCACUCAUGAACUUAGACACGGUACAGACUCCUACGGGAGGCAGCAGUGGGGAAUAUUGCACAAUGGACGCAGUCCGGAUGCAGCCAUGCCGCGUGUGAGAAGGAGGCCUUCGGGUUGUAGAGCACUUUCAUCGAGGAGGCGUUACUCGCAGAAGAAGCACCGGCUAACUCCGUGCCAACCGCCGCGGUAAUUC
Molecule: ribosomal RNA, 406 nt
Filed under: uncultured bacterium
Lineage: Bacteria
Description: partial 16S ribosomal RNA
Rfam family: Bacterial small subunit ribosomal RNA
Source: RNAcentral